Molecule: ribosomal RNA, 445 nt
Filed under: uncultured bacterium
Lineage: Bacteria
Description: partial 16S ribosomal RNA
Rfam family: Bacterial small subunit ribosomal RNA
Source: RNAcentral
GUAGGGAAUAUUGGGCAAUGGAAGCAAUUCUGACCCAGCCAUGCCGCGUGAAGGAAUACAGCCCUAUGGGUUUUAAACUUCUUUUAUUAUAGAGUAAACGGAGGUACGUGUACCUCCCUGCAAGUAUAUGAUGAAUAAGGAUCGGCUAACUCCGUGCCAGCAGCCGCGGUAAUACGGAGGAUCCAAGCGUUAUCCGGAUUUAUUGGGUUUAAAGGGUGCGCAGGCGGAUCAAUAAGUCAGGGGUGAAAAAUUUCAGCUUAACUGGAAUCGUGCCUUUGAUACUGUUGGACUAGAGUAUAAUUGACGUGACUGGAAUGUGAUGUGUAGCGGUGAAAUGCUUAGAUAUGUCACAGAACGCCAAUCGUGAAGACAGGUCACGAAAUUAUUACUGACGCUCAUGCACGAAAGCGUGGGGAUCAAACAGGAUUAGAAACCCGAGUAGUCC